This 431-nucleotide ribosomal RNA is filed under the name uncultured bacterium. RNAcentral describes it as "partial 16S ribosomal RNA". It matches the Rfam family "Bacterial small subunit ribosomal RNA", at positions 29 to 507 of the family's 1533-position model. The record is from RNAcentral.
AACGAACGCUGGCGGCAGGCCUAACACAUGCAAGUCGAGCGCGCCUUCGGGUGAGCGGCGGACGGGUGAGUAACGCGUGGGAAUAUGCCCUUCUCUACGGAAUAGUCCUGGGACACUGGGGGUAAUACCGUAUACGCCCUUUGGGGGAAAGAUUUAUCGGGGAAGGAUUAGCCCGCGUUGGAUUAGGUAGUUGGUGGGGUAAUGGCCUACCAAGCCGACGAUCCAUAGCUGGUUUGAGAGGAUGAUCAGCCACACUGGGACUGAGACACGGCCCAGACUCCUACGGGAGGCAGCAGUGGGGAAUCUGAGAAAAUGGGGGCAACACUGAUCUAGCCAUGCCGGGUGAGUGAUGAAGGCCUUAGGGUUGUAAAGCUCUUUCAGCUGGGAAGAUAAUGACGGUACCAGCAGAAGAAGCCCCGGCUAAAUCCGUG